CGUCUUCAGGGCGGGGUGCGAUUCCCCACCGGCAGUAUAGUCUGCGAACCCUCUUCGGGGGGCCGAAUCGGUGCAAUUCCGAUACCGACGGUAUAGUCCGGAUGAGAGAAGACG
This 114-nucleotide non-coding RNA is filed under the name bovine gut metagenome. Its description in RNAcentral is "FMN riboswitch (RFN element)". It matches the Rfam family "FMN riboswitch aptamer (RFN element)". Rfam says of the family: The RFN element is a highly conserved domain that is found frequently in the 5'-untranslated regions of prokaryotic mRNAs that encode for flavin mononucleotide (FMN) biosynthesis and transport proteins. This element is a metabolite-dependent riboswitch that directly binds FMN in the absence of proteins. The record is from RNAcentral.